GAUGAACGCUGGCGGCGUGCUUAACACAUGCAAGUCGAACGGUGAACACGGAGCUUGCUCUGUGGGAUCAGUGGCGAACGGGUGAGUAACACGUGAGCAACCUGCCCCUGACUCUGGGAUAAGCGCUGGAAACGGCGUCUAAUACUGGAUAUGUGACGUGACCGCAUGGUCUGCGUUUGGAAAGAUUUUUCGGUUGGGGAUGGGCUCGCGGCCUAUCAGCUUGUUGGUGAGGUAAUGGCUCACCAAGGCGUCGACGGGUAGCCGGCCUGAGCGGGUGACCGGCCACACUGGGACUGAGACACGGCCCAGACUCCUACGGGAGGCAGCAGUGGGGAAUAUUGCACAAUGGGCGCAAGCCUGAUGCAGCAACGCCGCGUGAGGGAUGACGGCCUUCGGGUUGUAAACCUCUUUUAGCAGGGAAGAAGCGAAAGUGACGGUACCUGCAGAAAAAGCGCCGGCUAACUACGUG
This 469-nucleotide ribosomal RNA is filed under the name uncultured bacterium. RNAcentral describes it as "partial 16S ribosomal RNA". It matches the Rfam family "Bacterial small subunit ribosomal RNA", at positions 28 to 507 of the family's 1533-position model. The record is from RNAcentral.